RNAcentral lists this transfer RNA (81 nucleotides) under Cytophagaceae bacterium. Its description in RNAcentral is "tRNA-Leu". It matches the Rfam family "tRNA". From Rfam's summary of the family: Transfer RNA (tRNA) molecules are approximately 80 nucleotides in length. Their secondary structure includes four short double-helical elements and three loops (D, anti-codon, and T loops). The record is from RNAcentral. Lineage: Bacteria; Pseudomonadati; Bacteroidota; Cytophagia; Cytophagales; Cytophagaceae.
GCCCGGAUGGUGGAACUGGUAGACACGCUAUCUUCAGGUGGUAGUGCCAUUGGUGUGCAGGUUCGAGUCCUGUUCCGGGUA